This is a long non-coding RNA of Alligator mississippiensis (American alligator), 1445 nucleotides long. RefSeq lists it as uncharacterized. The record is from RefSeq and is a predicted model, not a curated record. NCBI's taxonomy places the organism in Eukaryota, Metazoa, Chordata, Crocodylia, Alligatoridae. The transcript is spliced from 4 exons.
CAGUUGAAGCCUGUACCGCAGCCCGAGGUGGCCGGCGAGGGCGAAACACAUUAAAUGGAGAUUUAGAAUAAUUACCGGGCGUAAAUUUGUCGUUACUUCGUUAAUUAAGGCAUAAAAAAUAUAUAGAACUAGUGCGUGGAAGCCGCUAGGGAGCACGGUGUCACCUUAAAGCACAAACAAAGCCAGGGAGAAGCGAGAAAUAAAAAGCAGGCUAAGGCCAGGGUGGCCUCUUCUGCAUACCAAUGGUUUUUGUCAUUUAUGGCUAUACAAGAUUUAUGACUUCAUGCACCCGAGCUGUAAACAGAGCGCUGCUACAGAAAACACUUGCUCCGUGUGGCACAACCGAUGGCACCACAUGAAAGGGGAAGCCGGGCAGCGUAGGAGGGGAGAAGAGGCAGAAAUUCCCUCGUAGGCAUUUUGCUCCCAGCCACCCCUCCGAGGGUGCGGGGGAAGAAAAGCCUCUCUAGUCAAUAAUCAACCCCGCACUUUCUUCGGAAACUGCUGAUUUGACUUUCUCCCCGCGGCCGCCUCAAAUAGCAAGAGGCAACCCCAGAGCCCCCCUGGAGCAAGCGGGAGGACUGGGGAGAUGGCUCCUUACACAUCUGCAAAGGGAAUCGGUGAAGGAACAAGGUUUCUAAGCGCAAUCCUCUGAUUUUGAAAGCCUCCACCAAACCCAUUAAAGAAGAGUUUUAAGAGAAAAAUAUAUAUAUCAGGCGAUGGAGAUGAUUGCAUUUGUUUUUUCCCACACUAAUAUUUCUUUACACAAAAUCACAGGCAAGGGUGUGCGUUAGAAGAACGGAAAGAAAGUCUUUCAAACUUUACAGGGUCUUGGAUCGCAGCUGAAAAUGAUUCCCUUUCAUCGGUUCUGGAAUUCAUUGUCUUUGGUCAAGUAUCAUGAUUACGAGUUUUCAAACAGAAAUUCAAAGGGAUUUGAAAGCAUCACCAGCCAAUAGAAUACAACGUUCCUGGAGAUUCAACAUUAUGUUUUACUAGCUCUACCAGCUGCAGACCUGAAAACUUUCCUUUUUUUAUUUUUUUAAAAGCUGAAAAUAUGCAGUUUCUCGGAAGGUUGAUACUCUCUUUUUUCACGUGGCUUUAAACUGAAACUCCAAGCAGCGAUAACUGCAAAAGCGAAGUUUUAAUCUGUGUGAAUGAAGUGAGCCUCUUCGUGAUAGAUUUGAUUUCAAAUAUUAGCAUUAGAGAACUGUGGCGCAUUGCAAUCCUGGAACCAAUUCGUGCUGGCCUCACACCCUUGAGAAUCAUUGAUUCGAAUUUAGUAUAUGCUGGUGUGAGCGUGGAGAAAAAACACUGGCCCUCAAUUCUCCUCUAGGAGGAAUACAGCGAUGGAGGGAGGACCCGCUGACAAGUUUUAGUUGCAAUGGGCCUAGCCAGUUCUUGAGAAAGUUUUAUGAAUAUCCUUAUGAAUUAAAAUGUUAGACAAAUCA